CCCUUAGUCCUUAGUUACCAGCACGUUAUGGUGGGCACUCUAAGGAGACUGCCGGUGACAAACCGGAGGAAGGUGGGGAUGACGUCAAGUCAUCAUGGCCCUUACGGCCUGGGCUACACACGUGCUACAAUGGUCGGUACAAAGGGUUGCCAAGCCGCGAGGUGGAGCUAAUCCCAUAAAACCGAUCGUAGUCCGGAUCGCAGUCUGCAACUCGACUGCGUGAAGUCGGAAUCGCUAGUAAUCGUGAAUCAGAAUGUCACGGUGAAUACGUUCCCGGGCCUU
This 282-nucleotide ribosomal RNA is filed under the name uncultured Pseudomonas sp. RNAcentral describes it as "partial 16S ribosomal RNA". It matches the Rfam family "Bacterial small subunit ribosomal RNA", at positions 1098 to 1382 of the family's 1533-position model. Lineage: Bacteria; Pseudomonadati; Pseudomonadota; Gammaproteobacteria; Pseudomonadales; Pseudomonadaceae. The record is from RNAcentral.